Arachis duranensis is the source of this 1486-nucleotide RNA transcript. RefSeq lists it as uncharacterized. NCBI's taxonomy places the organism in Eukaryota, Viridiplantae, Streptophyta, Magnoliopsida, Fabales, Fabaceae. The record is from RefSeq and is a predicted model, not a curated record. The transcript is spliced from 4 exons.
AUACAGGAGGUCCAUGUAGGACAAAAAAGAGAGAACGGAGAAUUCCCAAUCAACUCCCGUGCGGAGUUAUAAAGCAAACAUAAUAAAAGAAAGAAUUAGAAAUGAAAUAUUAAAAGGACAGAAGAUCUAAAAGGGGCUUUAAUCCCUAACGUUUCACUAGAAGGGAAUUGGAGAAAUAGUCACCGCUUCCAUCAACAUUCUUCAAAAAUUUCAAUCUGUCACUUCCGGUGAAAUUUCUUCAUGUUCAAAGACCAAGCAGUUCCGAGCUCUCCAAAUAUUCCAGCACACAAUUCCAACCAAGAGCAAGUUUUGUUGAUCACUUCCAGUUCCUGAUAGGUGAAUAAGCAGUGCAUAGUCGAUUCCUCUCCUAACUGACACCGGGGGAAAAUCACAGAUAUUCAUGGGAUUCGUCGCUAGAGGUUCAACAGGACAGGAAGUCUUCCAUGGAGGGCACGUCAGAGGAAGAAUUUGAUCUUCGGGAGUAAUCUCAUUUUCCACAAAUCUUUCCAAAUAUCACUACAUUGAGAUAUAGAUGGACAGAACUCAAUUGGUGGGUGGUGAAAAUGACUGCAUAGGAGCACAAUGGGGAUGAGGAGAUGGCAGCCAUGGAUCUACAUAAACACGGAUACUUCCCCCGGACCCUACCUUCCAGAGCAAGCCUUUCUUAAGAACUUUACGACCCUCUAGGAUGCUUCUCCAACCCCACGAAGAUUGAUUCAUACAACUACACCCACAUUAUUACAUCAAAUUGAAAUCCCAGUCGAUAGGGUUGCCAAGCAAAUCAAAAUCAUCCAAGGUUGAAAAACAUGGCUCAUCUAUUGCACCCUCAUCGACAAACUCGUUUUCCUCGCUUGGUGGUGGUGCAACUGCAGUAGAAGCAGAGGCAGAGGCAGAAGCAGAAACCGGAACUGAAUGAGAAAUGGGAAUGGGGUUAUCUCCUGGUGCCGCUGGGGCUGGGGGGUUACCGAUGAUGGGUGGAACACCGUGGCCGGUGGCGGCGAUAAUGGAGGGCUCUGCUUGGCGGAGGAGCCACUCAAUAGUCUCGCCGUCGCUCUUGUUGUUGAGCUCGCGAGUGAGUUGGAAGACAAAGGCGGCGCAUGCGAUGGACAGGCGGACACGGCGGUCUCGGCCUUCCACCUUGAUGUGGCGGUCCUUCCUGCGUCUGCUGGACAUGGCGGUGCUGAUUGCGUUGUUGUUGGCUGCUGCCAUGGGUGCAAUUUCCAUGGGUCUUUGGUUUUGGGCAGACAAAGGAGAAGAAGAAUAUGGAACACUGCUCUCAUUCUCAUUCUUCAUUGAAGUCAUUGUUUUCUCUCCUCUCUUUUGUGUUUCUCUGAAAGUUCUUCUGAUGGAUGCAGAUUAACUUGUGUUUUAGAGUCCUUAUUUAUAAGUCCAUCCUGAUUCCCCCUUUUCUUUCUAGAGGAAUCAUUUUUUACCUCUCAGACACUUGUUUAAUUUUCAUCACUUUUAAUUUAUGAUUAAAUAAUGA